CGCUAUGUUCUCUGACACAACAAACGGAGAAGGAAGAUCUGCCCUGCCCAUUUAGUGCUUUCGGGCUCGUGUUUUUCAGCUGCAACUCCACCCCACGCCAGUGGAGAAGGGAUCGGAUCCCACUGAUCGCAGGAAAGGGAGGUUGUGGGGUUCACUGGCUCACCGAGAAUUUAUCACAGGCUGGUUUGCUGCAAAAAGAAAAGUAAAAACGAAAAAAAGAAAACAGCCAAACCAACCCUCCAACCAACAGCACGCACACGAGGUGUGUUUUGAGCUCUGGG
This is a long non-coding RNA of Oxyura jamaicensis (ruddy duck), 281 nucleotides long. RefSeq lists it as uncharacterized. The transcript has 2 exons. Lineage: Eukaryota; Metazoa; Chordata; Aves; Anseriformes; Anatidae. The record is from RefSeq and is a predicted model, not a curated record.